RNAcentral lists this ribosomal RNA (1254 nucleotides) under Bacillus sp. (in: firmicutes). Its description in RNAcentral is "bacterial SSU rRNA". It matches the Rfam family "Bacterial small subunit ribosomal RNA", at positions 134 to 1375 of the family's 1533-position model. Lineage: Bacteria; Bacillati; Bacillota; Bacilli; Caryophanales; Bacillaceae. The record is from RNAcentral.
AAGACUGGGAUAACUCCGGGAAACCGGAGCUAAUACCGGAUAGUUCCUUGAACCGCAUGGUUCAAGGAUGAAAGACGGUUUCGGCUGUCACUUACAGAUGGACCCGCGGCGCAUUAGCUAGUUGGUGGGGUAAUGGCUCACCAAGGCGACGAUGCGUAGCCGACCUGAGAGGGUGAUCGGCCACACUGGGACUGAGACACGGCCCAGACUCCUACGGGAGGCAGCAGUAGGGAAUCUUCCGCAAUGGACGAAAGUCUGACGGAGCAACGCCGCGUGAGUGAUGAAGGUUUUCGGAUCGUAAAGCUCUGUUGUUAGGGAAGAACAAGUGCGAGAGUAACUGCUCGCACCUUGACGGUACCUAACCAGAAAGCCACGGCUAACUACGUGCCAGCAGCCGCGGUAAUACGUAGGUGGCAAGCGUUGUCCGGAAUUAUUGGGCGUAAAGGGCUCGCAGGCGGUUUCUUAAGUCUGAUGUGAAAGCCCCCGGCUCAACCGGGGAGGGUCAUUGGAAACUGGGAAACUUGAGUGCAGAAGAGGAGAGUGGAAUUCCACGUGUAGCGGUGAAAUGCGUAGAGAUGUGGAGGAACACCAGUGGCGAAGGCGACUCUCUGGUCUGUAACUGACGCUAAGGAGCGAAAGCGUGGGGAGCGAACAGGAUUAGAUACCCUGGUAGUCCACGCCGUAAACGAUGAGUGCUAAGUGUUAGGGGGUUUCCGCCCCUUAGUGCUGCAGCUAACGCAUUAAGCACUCCGCCUGGGGAGUACGGUCGCAAGACUGAAACUCAAAGGAAUUGACGGGGGCCCGCACAAGCGGUGGAGCAUGUGGUUUAAUUCGAAGCAACGCGAAGAACCUUACCAGGUCUUGACAUCCUCUGACAACCCUAGAGAUAGGGCUUUCCCUUCGGGGACAGAGUGACAGGUGGUGCAUGGUUGUCGUCAGCUCGUGUCGUGAGAUGUUGGGUUAAGUCCCGCAACGAGCGCAACCCUUGAUCUUAGUUGCCAGCAUUUAGUUGGGCACUCUAAGGUGACUGCCGGUGACAAACCGGAGGAAGGUGGGGAUGACGUCAAAUCAUCAUGCCCCUUAUGACCUGGGCUACACACGUGCUACAAUGGACAGAACAAAGGGCUGCGAGACCGCAAGGUUUAGCCAAUCCCAUAAAUCUGUUCUCAGUUCGGAUCGCAGUCUGCAACUCGACUGCGUGAAGCUGGAAUCGCUAGUAAUCGCGGAUCAGCAUGCCGCGGUGAAUACGUUCCC